AGUAUCCAAGCACCCGACAAGCUGCUCAGCGGUAGCGGCGAAGGGAGAGGGUCUGGUUGCGCUUCCAGGUGGCUCUCCUGGAGGGCCUGUUCUUGUGGUGGGUGUGGCCCUUGCCACGUAGGCCACGGAACUUCUUGCCUGCAGAGGUGAGGCCACGAAGCUCACGGUGCUUGUGGACAGGGUUGCAUAGCCAGUUGAUCCUUGGAUCGGUUUUGAUGGCUGUGUGGGCAACAUCAACAAGG
RNAcentral lists this long non-coding RNA (242 nucleotides) under Sorghum bicolor (sorghum). RNAcentral's name for it is "long non-coding RNA (SBIC_LNC001975)". Lineage: Eukaryota; Viridiplantae; Streptophyta; Magnoliopsida; Poales; Poaceae. The record is from RNAcentral.